AACCUGCGGAGGGAUCAUUACUGAGUGAGGGCUCACGCCCGACCUCCAACCCUUUGUGAACCAAACUUGUUGCUUCGGGGGCGACCCUGCCGACGACUCCGUCGCCGGGCGCCCCCGGAGGUCUUCUAAACACUGCAUCUUUGCGUCGGAGUUUAAAACAAAUUAAACAAAACUUUCAACAACGGAUCUCUUGGUUCUGGCAUCGAUGAAGAACGCAGCGAAAUGCGAUAAGUAAUGUGAAUUGCAGAAUUCAGUGAAUCAUCGAAUCUUUGAACGCACAUUGCGCCCUUUGGUAUUCCGAAGGGCAUGCCUGUUCGAGCGUCAUUUCACCACUCAAGCCUGGCUUGGUAUUGGGCGUCGCGGUUAUUCGCGCGCCUUAAAGUCUUCCGGCUGAGCUGUCCGUCUCUAAGCGUUGUGGAUUUUUCAAUUCGCUUCGGAGUGCGGAUGGCCGCGGCCGUUAAAUCUUUAUUCAAAGGUUGACCUCGGAUCAGGUAGGGAUA
Molecule: ribosomal RNA, 500 nt
Filed under: Pseudocercospora chrysanthemicola
Lineage: Eukaryota; Fungi; Ascomycota; Dothideomycetes; Mycosphaerellales; Mycosphaerellaceae
Description: eukaryotic LSU rRNA
Rfam family: 5.8S ribosomal RNA (bases 171-324)
Source: RNAcentral